Molecule: transfer RNA, 65 nt
Filed under: Dipodomys ordii (Ord's kangaroo rat)
Lineage: Eukaryota; Metazoa; Chordata; Mammalia; Rodentia; Heteromyidae
Rfam family: tRNA
About the family: Transfer RNA (tRNA) molecules are approximately 80 nucleotides in length. Their secondary structure includes four short double-helical elements and three loops (D, anti-codon, and T loops).
Source: Rfam by way of RNAcentral
GGUGGCUCAGAGGUAGAGUGCUUGCCUUGCAUGCAUGAGGACCUGGGUUCAAUUCCUCAGCACCA